AACUAACUAGGAUUCCCUCAGUAGCUGCGAGCGAACAGGGAUAAGCCCAGCACCGAAUCCCGCGGCCGAUACCGGACGCCGGGAAAUGUGGUGUUCGGGAGGAUUCAAGUAUCCCGAGAUUACGCGGCGCGUCCAAGUCCUUCUUGAACGGGGCCACAGCCCAUAGAGGGUGCCAGGCCCGUAGCGACCGCCGCUGAUCGCGGGAGGAUCUCUCCUUAGAGUCGGGUUGCUUGAGAGUGCAGCCCUAAGUGGGUGGUAAACUCCAUCUAAGGCUAAAUAUGACCACGAGACCGAUAGCGAACAAGUACCGUGAGGGAAAGUUGAAAAGCACUUUGAAGAGAGAGUUCAAGAGUACGUGAAACCGUUUAGGGGUAAACCUGAGAAACCCGAAAGGUCGAAGGGAGAAAUUCAUUCGCGUUUCGACGCAGGCGUCGGACGGUCGUGCGACGGGAAACGUUCGCGUUUUCCGCGCCCUCCGUUCGUUACGAACCGGCGGCGAACGCGUGCACUUUUCUCCUGGUAGGACGUCGCGAUCCGUUGGGUGUCGGUCUACGGCUCGCGGUGGAGCCCGUUCGUCGUCGUCGUCUUAAUCGACGCGUACGAACGGACCCGCGUGUCCCGGCCGACUCGCUCGACGGUAUACAUAAGGUUUAAGGCCGCUCGUUUUUGGAGCGUUCGACUCGCGGCAAGCGCGCCAGAUGUGUCGGCGAUCGGACCUGGUGCCGAUUCUGACCUCUGGUGACUGUUGGCCGCGACGUUCUCGAACAGACC
Molecule: ribosomal RNA, 771 nt
Filed under: Curculio kojimai
Lineage: Eukaryota; Metazoa; Arthropoda; Insecta; Coleoptera; Curculionidae
Description: eukaryotic LSU rRNA
Rfam family: Eukaryotic large subunit ribosomal RNA
Source: RNAcentral